AUUGAACGCUGGCGGCAUGCCUUACACAUGCAAGUCGAACGGCAGCACGGGAGCAAUCCUGGUGGCGAGUGGCGAACGGGUGAGUAAUAUAUCGGAACGUGCUCAGUCGUGGGGGAUAACGCAACGAAAGCUGUGCUAAUACCGCAUACGAUCUACGGAUGAAAGCGGGGGAUCGCAAGAACUCGCGCGAUUGGAGCGGCCGAUAUCAGAUUAGCUAGUUGGUGGGGUAAAAGCCCGACAAGGCGACGAGCUGUAGCUGGUCUGAGAGGGCGACCAGCCACACUGGAACUGAGACACGGUCCAGACUCCGACGGGAGGCAGCAGUGGGGAAUUUUGGACAAUGGGCGCAAGCCUGAUCCAGCAAUGCCGCGUGCAGGAUGAAGGCCUUCGGGUUGUAAACUGCUUUUGUACGGAACGAAACGGCGAGCUCUAAUACAGUUUGCUAAUGACGGUACCGUAAGAAUAAGCACCGGCUAACUACGUGCCAGCCGCCGCCGUAA
This 500-nucleotide ribosomal RNA is filed under the name uncultured bacterium. RNAcentral describes it as "partial 16S ribosomal RNA". It matches the Rfam family "Bacterial small subunit ribosomal RNA", at positions 30 to 523 of the family's 1533-position model. The record is from RNAcentral.